UACGAAGGGGGCUAGCGUUGCUCGGAAUCACUGGGCGUAAAGCGCACGUAGGCGGAUUGCUAAGUCAGGGGUGAAAUCCUGGAGCUCAACUCCAGAACUGCCUUUGAUACUGGCGAUCUCGAGUCCGGGAGAGGUGAGUGGAACUGCGAGUGUAGAGGUGAAAUUCGUAGAUAUUCGGAAGAACACCAGUGGCGAAGGCGACUUACUGGACACAUAUUGACGCUGAGGUGCCAAAGCGUGGGGAGCAAACAGG
This 253-nucleotide ribosomal RNA is filed under the name uncultured bacterium. RNAcentral describes it as "partial 16S ribosomal RNA". It matches the Rfam family "Bacterial small subunit ribosomal RNA", at positions 524 to 776 of the family's 1533-position model. The record is from RNAcentral.